UAAGAAUAUGGACCUGUUUCUGGGUCCCUCUUUCUUUCCUUUGUAAAAUGAAGGUAUUGAACUAGAUGAUCUGUGAUUCAGCCAAUGCCUCUGCCAAGCGAUUUGAUGCACCAUGGAAGCAGAUGCUGUGAUCAGGACUGGUUAGAGCUAUUUUCUUCUGAUGUCAGUCAGCAAGAAAUGACUCCGUAAUAGAUUAAAAUAAAACACUUAUUUUGCACCAGAGAGAAGGAAAGAGAGAGAAGCACAUGACUCAAGGAGAAUGUUUACAUGUGUUCCUCCCAAAGGCUUUAUCUUGACAUAGUGUUCUCAUCUGCAACUUUUUAAAAAUGAAAAUAUGUGAGCAACAGAGAAAAGAUAUUCUACCCAGCUAGUCUUUAGCCAAGUAACUAAGGUUCUUAGAAACAAGCUUAAAAUACCAGACAGAUUGCACAAACAUCUUAAAAAAUAUGUAUCAAUUUAAUGCUUUUGUAGUAGUCCUCCCUUAUCCAUGGUUUUGCUUUCUGCAGUC
Molecule: long non-coding RNA, 508 nt
Filed under: Homo sapiens (human)
Lineage: Eukaryota; Metazoa; Chordata; Mammalia; Primates; Hominidae
Description: HSALNT0215019
Source: RNAcentral